Molecule: microRNA, 21 nt
Filed under: Citrus sinensis (sweet orange)
Lineage: Eukaryota; Viridiplantae; Streptophyta; Magnoliopsida; Sapindales; Rutaceae
Description: csi-miR396e-3p
Gene: csi-miR396e-3p
Source: miRBase by way of RNAcentral
GCUCAAGAAUGCCGUGGGAAA